Molecule: long non-coding RNA, 1812 nt
Organism: Asparagus officinalis (garden asparagus)
Lineage: Eukaryota; Viridiplantae; Streptophyta; Magnoliopsida; Asparagales; Asparagaceae
Exons: 3
Source: RefSeq, a predicted model, not a curated record
UCAAACCCUAAAUUCCCAAAUUCUCUGCGCCCUCCCAUUCUUCUCCUCUGUUCGAAGGCCAGAACCGUCGUCCCCCUCGAUCCCGCGCCCUCCCGUCGUCCUCCUCGACAUCUUUGUCCCGUCGUCCUCCUCGACGUUUUGUCGUCGCCUCCCCCUCAGCUCCUCGACGUCCUCCUCCGACAUCAUCAUCCCGUCGUCGCCUCCCCCUAAGCCCCUCAGAUCCUCGCCGUCCCGUCAUCCUCCUCGACGUUUCGUCGUCAUCCUCCUUCGACAUCGCCGUCCGAGAGUGCACCCUUCCGCCAAAAAAUUCAUUCACAAAAUUCGUUUCUCCGCCUAAAUUCACAAACUCAGAAAUAAAACCCCCAAAACUUUUAUCCCCCUUCAAACCCUCUCUAAACUUCUUUUUCUCUCUAAAAAUCCCUCUCAUUGUAAACCCACUUCGUCUUCCCCCUCAAAUCUCUCGAAAUUUCCCAGUUUUAAGGGAUUCAGUUCGAGAAUGGACUCUAUGAUUGUAAGCAAGUCUGCGUGCUCGGCUCGGUAUUUGCACAAGAAAGCUUCAGAAUAUGACAUCGGGAUCUAUUUUGAAGCAAAUAGUCAUGGAACAAUUCUAUUUUCAGAAGAUUUUAUAUCUAUCCUACAUGAUGUGGAGAAAGAGCUUGCUUCUUGUCCAGGUUAACUCAACUACCUUAUAUCUAUCCUACAUGAUGUAUUAUAAGUGUGGCAGCUUGGAAGAUGUGUGCUUGGUGUUUGAUAAAAUGCAUGUUUAUUCUUUAAGUGUUACAAUGUUUACUAACGAUAUAAAUGAUGACUUCAGAUCACAUGGCAUUGAAACAAUUUGAUACACCCGAUGAAAAAGCUCCAAACUCAUUAUACAGAGAAACAUGACUUGUAAGCAUUGUCGACAUACAAACAUGAGAAAAUAAGUAAAAUUUAUUAUUGUUAAAUUUCCUCCCAUGUUAUUUUUAAUUAGUUUAUGCUUGCUAGGUGUUUGCUAAAAUGAUCUGCAGUUAAAUUAGAAUCAGUGAUUGAUAUGUUUGCAUUCUAAUUUAUAACUAAUGUGUUGAAUGGCUUGUGUUGCAUUUCAAUUUGUGUUUGUGAAUUAGGCGUGCUUGAUUCCAAGUCAUUGUGUAUGUUAACAAAUUGAUUACAAAUUGAUGGUGUAAUUGUAGUUUCAUUUGCAUUAUAUAUGAUUACAAAUUGAUGAUUACAAAAUUUGGCUUAUCCAGAGUUGAACAAGUUAACAGUUUAGGUAUCAAUGAUACAAAAUCAAAUGCGAUAGUCUGGUGUCUUUGUACAUGCUGCUUUUUCAUUUAUUUAAUUUUACAAUGCAGAUGUAAACAUUGAGAUGAAGUGCCUGGUUCAAACAACAAAUAUAAGAUAUGUGUUAUAAAUUAUACCCUUUGUUCUGGAAAUUGUUUGGGUAUUUGUUGUUCUCAUUUUGAUUAACUAGCAUACACUCUAGCAUACACUCAUUUUGAUUAACUAGCAUACACUCAUUUUUGAUUAACUAGUCUGGUGUCUUUGUCCUUGGUUGAUAGUUCAUGAGCCUGGAGCUUCCGAUGCUGUGGAGGUUUCCGUGUUCCAAAAGUGUAGGCAGUUCGGACAUUUCACCCACCACGAAAGUAGUAUAAAUUGGAUUCUUAAUGUAUAUUUGAUUUUUCUCAUUGUCACGUGACUGAUUUUGUAAUGCUAAUACAGCCAUAAUGACGCUACUUGCUGUAUUUUUUGUGAACAUGUAUCAUUCGGAUUGCGCAUUCGUUUGCAAAUUUCUGGUGAAUAUGUAUCAUUCGGAUUGCACGUAUUUUAUGUGAA